GUCUAAGAGAGGGUAGAGCUGGAGCCCUCCUGCUAUGCCUCCUGUACCUGAGAGCAGAUGAAAAUGUUUCUGGGUUUGAAUUGGCGUUGAAGUUUCCGCUGAUAUUUUCCUUCCUGCUUUAUAACUUGCUGUGAGCUCCAUCAAUCCUGAAGAAGAGCUUCGAAUGGCAGCGUUGGAUGAGAUUGGAUCAUAUGUUUGAGAAGCCCAGCGUGUCCUGUCAUGGAGUUGGACACAGGUGAAGGACGGGGGCGCGAGGCGUCUGGACGGAGCCUGACAGCUUGUGAAUAGGAAGGCGGACCAGGCUGCUACUAAUCACACAUGCUGGACGGGAGUGUCUGAGUCUGGGAGAGCUUUUCAAUCACGCCGCCCCUCUAACUCCCACUCCGAAGGGCAUCUCGGCUGUUUUUACGAAGGCCCGGGGCUGAGCGGGAUUGCUUUGUGUUUGUCUGGUUUUGUAGGUGUUUUUGGAAAAGGAGAAAAACAUGGCAAACGCCUCAACUCCUGCAGAAGGCUGAAACUGCUUCACACAGGGGAGGAAAGUUCUGGAAAGCGUCUGGGACGACACUGGCACGAGUCUGUCUGUUUCUCACCAGGCAUGUCUCUCUCUCUCUCUCUCUCUCUCACACACACACACACACACACACGCAACCUUCUGGCCUGGUCUUGAACACAAGCAUUUAAUUUCAUUUCAGACCUUGAGGCAAUCUAUCCAUCAUCACUCCUCUCUCUUCCUCUGGUCUCACCUGCCAUACACUUCAUGUAGAAAAAAAAAGGAAAAGAAACUGCUAAUUGCACACGUGGGAGUUUUAAAGUUUUAAUUUUUAAUUUGACUGCCAUCACUUUAAUGAGCAAACAGUACAGCAGAGCUAAAGCAUUUCCGCUCUAAACUAUUUGUUCUGCAUGACAAAAAAAAAAAAAAAAAAAGAAGAGAGAAGCCAAAUGGAAGUAAUGUGUUUUAACGUUAUAUUUCAUUCGUAUAUAUAUUUUUCCUUUCGAAAUUAGGCAGGUCAAUAUCUUAAUAGGAUCAGCUUCAAUAUGGGUUAAGAUUUAAAUGGCGGAGUUUGGCACUGCUGUAUGCUUUGAUAUGUUCGGUCAGAAGAAAAAAUUUGCUCCUGUCCAUGUUCAGCAUCGAGUGUCUUUAUCAUGUCUCACUCCACAGUGGUGGUUAACAUGAAGCUCAUAAGUAAGCAGACACUCGAGCCUUUAAGAAUUUGUAGUGCUUCGUAAGUAUUUCUGAUUUUAGCCUACUAGGGGCGAGAUAUUCAUUGAAAAGUUAAAAAAAACAACACAAAAUCUCAAAGUAAAUGCUGAUAUCAAACCCAUUUCUGCUCUCUGAGAUGCUUGUUCAUCUAAAAAGCAUCUAAAGUUGAUCUUUAACCAGUAAAACUCUGUGUAAGGUUAUCCAACAGAGGGACAAACACACGUCUAAAACACACUGAAAGCCAACAGGCUCAUUUUAGUAUAAUUAUUGAUAUGGUAAAAGGAAAAUACAGAGAUGUUUGUUUAACAUUUAGGGAAGGGGUCUCCGGUAUCAGUCACGGCAGAAAGAGCUUGGGUUUUGCUUUAUGUAUUAAAGAAAGAACUUACUUCCUGGUGAAAGUUCCACAACAUAAAGUAACUACAACCGGUUAAAAAGCAUGACGUUGUUUAUUGAUGAAUAAAAAUGUGUAAUUAUUGACUUUCUUUUCUUCUAACAGCACACCAUGUAGAGUGUUAUUCAUUAUAUAACACUAAGGAGCCACAUAUUAGCAAAAAUACGGCAUUUCUAGGCUGCUUGAAAUGAAUGUCUUCUCACAGAACUAUUUAUGUAUUCAGAGAAUAAAAGAUCCUCGCUCACACCUGUAGUAUUCUUCCCCGGCCAGAUCGUCAGCCAUGAUUGUCUUUUUAACUGCAGAUUUGACAGAGCAUUAUCCACGAUCCGAUGCUGAAGUGAAGCUGUUUUAAUCCACAAUAUUUUGGACACAUAACAUUCCAGGCUAUUAGGAGGAUUUGCGGAACAAUCGAUGGCCGGCGAAGCAUCAACCCAAUCUGGCAAAGAUGGCUGUGCCCCUGCGCUAGCCUCGGAGGACAUCUGAACAGCACAAAGGGUGCCAACAAAACACAAACAGACUGCAAUUAAUUAGCACCAAUGUUUACGACAUGCUCAAGAAGAAAGGAUUUUCGCCGAAGAAAACAGCACGAAGAAUACCCAGGCUGGGGCUUCACUUUAAUGAGCUCCACUAGGUUAAUUAAGGACACAUAAACAAAUGUGAAGGUUUAUAGACAUUGUUUACACUGGAGAUGUGCGAUCGUUGGAUUGGGUUCUGUUCAAGGAAGAGGUCAUUACGAAUUAUAUAAAGUGAAGGCUUUCAUGUUCUUCCUGUGUUUCAGGGGGAUUCCUCUGGAUUCUCUGGGUUUCCUCCUCCAGCCCAAAGACAUGCCUCGUAGACUGAUUGUUUCAGACUGGGACAUUUCAUUUCCCUGUCUGAAUACUAGGGGGCGCUGACAGGUGUAUGGCUGUUCAUUGUGAAUCCUGUCGAUUACUUUUAAUGUGCUUUGCUAUUUACACAGAUCAGGAAUAACAUUAUGACCGCCCGCCUAAUAUCGUGUUGGUCCCCCCUUUUGCUGACCUGUGAUGCACUGUGUAUUCGGACACCUUUCUGUCUAUCAGAAACAGCAUUAACUUCUUCAGCAAUUUGAGCAACAGUAGUUCGUCUGUUGGAUCGGAUCACACGGGCCAGCCUUCACUCCCCACAUGCAUCAGUGAGGCUUGGACGCCCAUGACCCUGUCGACGGUUCACCACUGUUCCUUCCUUGGACCACUUUUGAUAGAUACUGACCACUGCAGACCGGGAACACCCCACAAGAGCUGCAGUUUUGGAGAUGCUCUGAUCCAGUCGUCUAGCCCUGAGGUAGUCUUUUGUGGCAUGGUUGGGAUUCAAACUUAUGAUUUCCUGAUGUUUUCUCCUGCCGCCUCAUCCUUGUGACGUUGACAAAGUUUUCUUAAUAAAUAUCUUGUUUAUGGGCUCAUGGCCUGAAUGUAAAGACUAAGUUUGGAUGGACUAGAUGGAUGUUGACUUGAAUAUAACUAAGCAGGAUCAGUAACAGAUAAAUAAAUUGUUUCACACAAUUUUUCAGAUUUUUUAUUCUUAAAGAAAAAGAACUAGUUCUUUAAAGAUGAAGCGAUGGUUUGACGUCGUGACAGAAGAUUUUUUCCGGCGUCGGAGGAACGAGUUCGCACGCUUGAUUUGCACACCUCAGCGUCUCCUCUUUUUCCGGGCACAUGGCAGAUGCUCAGAGCUCGGCCUGGCUGAGAGAAACGUGGGACGUGGCAGAGAAUGUUCAUGAGGGAAAUAACAGGGAGAGGAAAGCGAGAACUUGACUCAAGCUUGUGCGUGAAAUGUGGUGACAAGUUGGAAUGGAAACACUUUUAUUUUUUCCUUCGGUGAAUUCCUUCGUGGACGCUAUUAGCAUUACAAAGCAGCGUGGAAGUUAGCGAUCUGACAGGGCUUGGAUGGCGGCGCUUGUGUAGGUGCUCAGGUGCACGCCAUAUGAACCCUCAGCAACUGUCACAGCUCCUGAGAAAUGAGAUCCACAGCACCUUGCCAUUUGUGAGGGACAUGGGAAGGGGCAGCAGCAGCCAACAAUCCUGUGAAGCUCCAAGCUGCCACUCUGUCGCUCGAUGGCCACCGGGCUCCAAGUGACCAGUGAAGACCUGCUGCUCUCAUUCCUCUCCCAUAUGUGGGACUUCCUGUUCCUACAGGGUACCGGCUAGAUCAGGGCUGUGGGCUCCCCGCUAUUAUUUGCCCUUUUGUCCUGGUCUUAAGGCUUCCAAUAAAUUAAAUACGAAAACAUAAACAGCGUAGCUGACGUAAACUACGCCACCUUCUCGCUCCAGCAACGCGGCGUACGGCGAGAUCUUUCACCUCACUUCUGUACAUGUGCAGAUGCUCAGCUUCCAUCUCCUGGUGCUAUUAAUCUAUAUUUAACCCACAGUCUAAAUAAGGCAGUGAUGAACAUCAAGUGGACUGUAGGCUUUUUAUCUGUAAGUGCUGACUGAUCCCCAGAGCAACCAAGAACGUUUAUAGCUCUUCACACAUCUUCACACUGACAGUGUUUUUUUGUUUUUUUUUAUUAUUCCGAGGGAAUGAAAUGAUA
This is a long non-coding RNA of Hemibagrus wyckioides, 4137 nucleotides long. RefSeq lists it as uncharacterized. The transcript is spliced from 3 exons. NCBI's taxonomy places the organism in Eukaryota, Metazoa, Chordata, Actinopteri, Siluriformes, Bagridae. The record is from RefSeq and is a predicted model, not a curated record.